RNAcentral lists this unclassified non-coding RNA (558 nucleotides) under Hevea brasiliensis (rubber tree). The record is from RNAcentral. Lineage: Eukaryota; Viridiplantae; Streptophyta; Magnoliopsida; Malpighiales; Euphorbiaceae.
AGGCCCCGGAAACAAAAUCAUGGGCUACAUUAUGGGUAAAGUAGAAGGACAAGGUGAGUCCUGGCAUGGACAUGUAACUGCAGUUACAGUGGCUACAGAAUAUCGCAGGCAGCAAUUAGCUAAAAAGCUAAUGAACAUCCUAGAAGACAUAAGUGACCAAAUUGAUAAAGCAUACUUUGUGGAUCUUUUUGUUAGAGCAUCAAAUACACCUGCUAUAAAGAUGUAUGACAAGCUUGGGUAUGUAAUCUAUAGACGAGUGCUACGCUAUUACUCAGGGGAGGAAGACGGGUUAGAUAUGAGGAAAGCUUUAUCAAGGGAUGUUGAGAAGAAGUCCAUCAUUCCACUCAAACGGCCAGUUACCCCUGAUGAAUUGGAAUAUGAUUAGACCUCCUUGACAAGUGAAGGUUAAGAUGAUGCUGAUAAUUGUAGUUCUUGAGAUGAAAGAAUAAGCUCUUAUAUCACCUGUUUAACUUGUGUCAAAAGAGAUCUAAACUCUGUGACUUUGAUUGUGAUGAUUUGAUUUGUUUGGCAUGAGAACAUUGAAGAUGAAAAAAAAAA